UUAACUUAAUUUGUGUAUACAGUUGGAACAGCGCCCCUAGCGGCAAACGUAGGCAAACGUUCCAAUUCCAUACAAAUUUGAGUUA
Molecule: microRNA precursor, 85 nt
Filed under: Bombyx mori (domestic silkworm)
Lineage: Eukaryota; Metazoa; Arthropoda; Insecta; Lepidoptera; Bombycidae
Description: mir-2807 microRNA precursor family
Rfam family: mir-2807 microRNA precursor family
Source: Rfam by way of RNAcentral